AUGAAGCGCGACAGGAGGUCGUCGUGCGGCGUGGACCCGUCGCUCUUGCCGGCGAGCUCGAGCUUGCGCGUCUUGAUGACGGCGGAGAGGUAGCGGUCGACGUGCGCGACGCUGCGCGCCAGCGUGGUCUCCAUGCCGAGCCCCAGCCACUUCUUGCACCGCCACACGCACUCCGGGAAGAUGAAGCGGUUGAGCGUGGCCUCGGUGGCGCUGUCGAAGGAGGUGGCGAAGGCGUUCUCGGGGAGGCCGCGGGCGAGCGUCUCCGGGUCCUUGCCGAAGGCGAGGCCGCAGAUGUUGUCGAAGGUGAGGCGGAGGAGGAGGUCCUGCAGGUCGACGUGCGCGCCGGAGGCCGCCGCGUCGGACAGGAUGGGGAGCAUGCGGUGGUGGAUGGAGCGGGAGACCCAGCGGGACAUGGCGGUGCGGAGCGUGCGCGUGGUGAACUCGAGCGCGGCCGUCUUGCGCUGCGCGACCCAGGUGUCGCCGUCGGAGUUGAAGAUGCCGUCGCCGAGCAGGUCGCUGAAGACGCCGUGCCAGAAGGGGCCCUUGGGGUAG
RNAcentral lists this ribosomal RNA (552 nucleotides) under Triticum aestivum (bread wheat). Its description in RNAcentral is "partial small subunit ribosomal RNA". The record is from RNAcentral. Lineage: Eukaryota; Viridiplantae; Streptophyta; Magnoliopsida; Poales; Poaceae.